This 520-nucleotide ribosomal RNA is filed under the name uncultured delta proteobacterium. RNAcentral's name for it is "bacterial SSU rRNA". It matches the Rfam family "Bacterial small subunit ribosomal RNA", at positions 8 to 526 of the family's 1533-position model. The record is from RNAcentral. Lineage: Bacteria; Deltaproteobacteria.
AGAGUUUGAUCCUGGCUCAGAACGAACGCUGGCGGCGUGCUUAACACAUGCAAGUCGCACGAGAAACGGGGCUUCGGCCCCCGAGUAAAGUGGCGAAUGGGUGAGUAACACGUGAGUAACAUGCCCUGGAGCGGGGGAUAACCAUUCGAAAGGGUGGCUAAUACCGCAUAAGACCCCACCGAGUUCGCUCGGAGUGGUCAAAGCCUUUUGGCACUUCAGGAUUGGCUCGCGGAUCAUUAGCUAGUUGGUGGGGUAAUGGCCCACCAAGGCAGUGAUGGAUAGCUGGUCUGAGAGGACGAUCAGCCACACUGGGACUGAGACACGGCCCAGACUCCUGCGGGAGGCAGCAGUGGGGAAUCUUGCGCAAUGGGCGAAAGCCUGACGCAGCAACGCCGCGUGUGUGAAGAAGGCCCUCGGGUCGUAAAGCACUGUCAGAGGGGAAGAACGCCUACAUUGUUAGGUUUGACGGUACCCUCAAAGGAAGCACCGGCUAACUCCGUGCCAGCAGCCGCGGUAAUAC